CGGCAGGCCUAAUACAUGCAAGUCGUACGGCAACACAGUUGCGAGCAAUCGCAACCGGUGGCGAGUGGCGCACGGGUGAGUAACGCGUAUGUAACCUACCCUUCUCCGGGACAUAACUCCGCGAAAGCGGUGCUAAUAUCCCAUACCAACUCAUCAAGACAUCUUCUUGAGUUGAAAGCAGCAAUGCGGUGAAGGAUGGGCAUGCGUCCCAUUAGCUGGUUGGUGAGGUAAUGGCCCACCAAGGCUACGAUGGGUAGGGGUUCUGAGAGGGAAGUCCCCCACACUGGUACUGAGACACGGACCAGACUCCUACGGGAGGCAGCAGUGAGGAAUAUUGGUCAAUGGGUGAGAGCCUGAACCAGCCAUCCCGCGUGCAGGAUGACGGUCCUAGUGAUUGUAAACUGCUUUUCUAUGAGAUGAAUAAGAAUUACGUGUAGUUCGAUGACCGUAUUAUAGGAAUAAGCAUCGGCUAACUCCGUG
RNAcentral lists this ribosomal RNA (480 nucleotides) under uncultured bacterium. RNAcentral describes it as "bacterial SSU rRNA". It matches the Rfam family "Bacterial small subunit ribosomal RNA", at positions 40 to 507 of the family's 1533-position model. The record is from RNAcentral.